RNAcentral lists this non-coding RNA (24 nucleotides) under Arabidopsis thaliana (thale cress). The record is from RNAcentral. Lineage: Eukaryota; Viridiplantae; Streptophyta; Magnoliopsida; Brassicales; Brassicaceae.
GUAGAAGGUAUCCUGCUACAUUGC